Molecule: ribosomal RNA, 729 nt
Filed under: uncultured bacterium
Lineage: Bacteria
Description: bacterial SSU rRNA
Rfam family: Bacterial small subunit ribosomal RNA
Source: RNAcentral
UCUCUGGNCAGUAACUGACGCUGAGGAGCGAAAGCAUGGGGAGCGAACAGGAUUAGAUACCCUGGUAGUCCAUGCUGUAACCGGUGGGCGUCAGGUGUGGGGACCGGUUUGGUUUCUGUGCCGUAGCUAACGCAUUAAGCGCCCCGCCUGGGGAGUACGGCCGCAAGGCUAAAACUCAAAGGAAUUGACGGGGGCCCGCACAAGCGGCGGAGCAUGUGGAUUAAUUCGAUGCAACGCGAAGAACCUUACCUGGGUUUGACAUGCAUCAGACGGUUGUAGAGAUACGUACCUCCCUUUGUGGUUGGUGUGCAGGUGGUGCAUGGUUGUCGUCAGCUCGUGUCGUGAGAUGUUGGGUUAAGUCCCGCAACGAGCGCAACCCUUGUCUUAUGUUGCCAGCACGUUUAGGGUGGGGACUCAUGAGAGACUGCCGGGGUUAACUCGGAGGAAGGUGGGGAUGACGUCAAAUCAUCAUGCCCUUUAUGCCCAGGGCUUCACACAUGCUACAAUGGUUAGUACAACGCGCUGCGAACCUGUGAGGGUGAGCGAAUCGCUGAAAGCUAAUCUCAGUUCGGAUUGGGGUCUGCAACUCGACCCCAUGAAGUCGGAGUCGCUAGUAAUCGCAGAUCAGCAAUGCUGCGGUGAAUACGUUCCCGGGCCUUGUACACACCGCCCGUCACGUCAUGAAAGUUGGUAACACCCGAAGCCCAUGGCCUAACCACCGUUUGGUGG